CCUUGGAUGGCGAAGUCUGACGGAGCACGCCGCGUGAGUGAUGAAGGUUUUCGGAUCGUAAAGCUCUGUUGUUAGGGAAGAACAAGUGCCGUUCAAAUAGGGCGGCACCUUGACGGUACCUAACCAGAAAGCCACGGCUAACUACGUGCCAGCAGCCGCGGUAAUACGUAGGUGGCAAGCGUUGUCCGGAAUUAUUGGGCGUAAAGGGCUCGCAGGCGGUUUCUUAAGUCUGAUGUGAAAGCCCCCGGCUCAACCGGGGAGGGUCAUUGGAAACUGGGGAACUUGAGUGCAGAAGAGGAGAGUGGAAUUCCACGUGUAGCGGUGAAAUGCGUAGAGAUGUGGAGGAACACCAGUGGCGAAGGCGACUCUCUGGUCUGUAACUGACGCUGAGGAGCGAAAGCGUGGGGAGCGAACAGGAUUAGAUACCCUGGUAGUCCACGCCGUAAACGAUGAGUGCUAAGUGUUAGGGGGUUUCCGCCCCUUAGUGCUGCAGCUAACGCAUUAAGCACUC
This 511-nucleotide ribosomal RNA is filed under the name Bacillus amyloliquefaciens. RNAcentral's name for it is "bacterial SSU rRNA". It matches the Rfam family "Bacterial small subunit ribosomal RNA", at positions 369 to 869 of the family's 1533-position model. Lineage: Bacteria; Bacillati; Bacillota; Bacilli; Caryophanales; Bacillaceae. The record is from RNAcentral.